GAUGAACGCUGGCGGCGUGCUUAACACAUGCAAGUCGAACGAGGAUUUAACGGAAUGCGAUUCGUCAAAUGAAAUUAAAUCCGAGUGGCGGACGGGUGAGUAACGCGUGGAUAACCUGCCUCACACAGGGGGACAACAGUUGGAAACGACUGCUAAUACCGCAUAAGCCCACGACCCGGCAUCGGGAAGAGGGAAAAGGAGCAAUCCGCUUUGAGAUGGCCUCGCGUCCGAUUAGCUAGUUGGUGAGGUAACGGCCCACCAAGGCGACGAUCGGUAGCCGGACUGAGAGGUUGAACGGCCACACUGGAACUGAGACACGGUCCAGACUCCUACGGGAGGCAGCAGUGGGGAAUCUUCCGCAAUGGGCGAAAGCCUGACGGAGCAACGCCGCGUGAGUGAUGACGGCCUCGGUUGUAAGCUCUGUGAUCGGGACGGAAC
RNAcentral lists this ribosomal RNA (438 nucleotides) under uncultured bacterium. RNAcentral's name for it is "bacterial SSU rRNA". It matches the Rfam family "Bacterial small subunit ribosomal RNA", at positions 28 to 450 of the family's 1533-position model. The record is from RNAcentral.